GUUAAAUCUUGGGAGGUAUGUACUUUCCUCCACUAGAAAACCUUAUUCUAGCCAAGGACAGUACACAUCACAGUGAUGUCUGGUGUACACCCCCCGCACCUGAGAGCUUUGGCUCUCGCUCCCCGCACCUCCAGCUAUUGACUUGCCGUCUGCCGUAGGGACACUUGGAAUAAAGCAUCGUUUGGCAAAUACUUCUCAGUGGUUUUUACAGAUGAAAAAGAAGGAAAAGGACAUCCAUUAGGGAGGAAGACUAAUGAAUCGUUUGAUGCAUGUGUCUUUACAGAGGAAGAGGUUCUACAAUUGCUGUCUAAAGUGAAAACAAAUAAGUCACAGGGGCCUGAUGGGAUACACCCAAAAUUAUUGAAAGAGCUUAGUCGUGAGCUAGCAAAACUGUUAACAGAUUUAUUUAACCAAUCACUGGUAACAGGAGUUGUCCCAGAAGAUUGGAAAUUAGCAAAUGUCGUGCCAAUUCACAAGAAAGGAAGUAGGGAGGAAUCAAGCAA
Molecule: long non-coding RNA, 503 nt
Organism: Hyla sarda
Lineage: Eukaryota; Metazoa; Chordata; Amphibia; Anura; Hylidae
Exons: 3
Source: RefSeq, a predicted model, not a curated record